RNAcentral lists this long non-coding RNA (3072 nucleotides) under Marmota monax (woodchuck). Lineage: Eukaryota; Metazoa; Chordata; Mammalia; Rodentia; Sciuridae. The record is from RNAcentral.
CAACUAUUCCUUCCUCCUCCAGCAGGUGAGUCAGAAUCUGUACAUGCAAGAGAAGAGUUACAAGGACUCUUGAGUCCUACACUGGGAACUGGGAAACGUCACCUGUGUGGUAUUCUGUUGCUCAAAGCAAUGACAUUAUCAGCUCAGAUUCAAGGGAAGGUGAAAACAGACUCCCACUCUUCGAGGAAGGAGUCACACAGAAUCGUCACUGUGUUUGCCAUCGACCACGAUGACAUUUUCCUUCUAGGCUGGGGUCACAUAGGUAUUUCGUAACUGCAGUGCCUAAUCUGGCUCUAACAGAUUGUUAGUUACUUAGCCGUGUGGCCUUGGGCAGUUACCUAACCAUUCUGGGCUUUGGUUUCUUCGCUUAUAUCAUGGAAAAUCACGCUUAUCUUGCCCAAUAAGAUCUAGAGGGAGAGGAUAUUUUAUGAUCAGUCCUUGAAACAGAGCCAGGCCUGGCUGCUCCGGCUGGGCGUGUGCGUCUGUGUCCCACAGUACAGUCCUCUGUAAUCCAUCAAGGCCUGGCCAUCCCUCAGUAGAUCUCUCCUAUUUUUCCAAGAAAAACCCAAGAGGUUUGGCUGGAAACUCUCGGGAUCCUUUCACUCGAGUCCAGGAGCCCCUUGUGGAUUCGUCAUUUGUUCUGAAAGCAAACCUGGAGAUUCCCUGACCGACACAGCCUCGGGGAAGGCCCCUCCUGCAAAGCUCCAUCACGUUCAACAGACACGGCCAGGCGGCUCGGGGACGUACCGGAGGCCACCAGCUCCCAGGGAGCAGGAGAGAGCUGUGUCCUGACAGCGGGGGGCGGGGUCUGUGCAGGAGUCUCGGACUGCUCAGUGCCCCGCGUCCCUUCAGGGGACCCUGGUCUCCCCGCAGCAAGCAUGUCACCAGCCUGGGGAAGCCGAGGCCAGACAUUAAAAGAAGAAGAGAACGAGGAGUCCAGUCUUUGACCUUCGUGUUCCUCGAAUGAGCUCUGCCACUUAGUUAGACCGCCUGGUCCUGGUUAUGAAGUGUGGACUUGGUAAGGCAGGACCUGUGACUUGUCACCUCCUGUAGGCUAAAGUUCUGAGUACCACGGCACUGGGGGCUGGGUUACGAUGUAGGAACCAUGGGGGGGGGGCGGCGUGGAAAUGUACAGCCAGACCACUGAGAAAGAAGGUUCUGGAACUUUCCAAAGUCACCCCAAAGUGAAUGGCAUCACUGGGAUUCGAACCCAGGCAGACAUGAUCAUAAUGAUGAUGGCGGUUACUAUUCGACUUCCUGUCCUUCUACGAACUCUGUGAGCCAUUUCACCAAGGAGAACCUGAGUCACACGGAAGUGAAGUGACUUCCCCUGAGAUCACAGAGGCAGCAAAGAUCAGUACCGGCUAGGAUUCGCACCCAGGGCUGGCUAAGUCUCGGCCAUGGUGCUGUGACCGUCCCCCUGGGGUUGAGCCCUCUGGGAAAGCUCAUGAGAUGAAUGAGCCGGUGGGUGAGUGGGCGGGUCUCAGUUAAAGAACCUGAGCUCAGAGCAGCGGGUCCCCAGGGACGGAAGAGUGGCAGGACAUGCAGAUGGCCCCCAGGCAGACCCCUGGGAAAAGCACUCCCUUCCUACCAAGACCCCGGGAGACCCCUGCUGGCCCCUGCUCCUGGGUGUGGCACCGACACCUUUCCUGGUGGGGAAGGGAAGAGAGCGACUUAGGGGAAUGUGUCACCCUCUGCCUGCAGAGAGGCCACCAGACUCUGGGUGAGGCUUAGUAAUGACCCCUGACCCCCCCCACACACAGAACAGCCCGGAGCAGCUAGGAAGGCAGGUGACAAAUCAGGGUCUCCUUCUCCAUCCCCCAGAACAGAAAGAUGCCCUCUCCCUCCUGAAGGCAGGGUUUAAACCACAUCGUCCCCCGUGCUGUGUAGGUCCCUCCACCCUGCUAGUUCUCUGUAUCCUCACGGGGGCCUACCUUUAUCUCCCACAUGGAGAGGCUCACGUGGCCCCUCUCCCCUGCUCAAAGCCUCCCCUGGCUCCCCGGCAACCUCAGAAUUAGGCCUAGAGUCCUCCCUGUGGUCCACGAGGCCUGACCCCCACCCCGAGACCUUGGGGUCUUCCCCUCCCCUGCCACAGACUCCAUGCUAUCUCUCCCCCACCCCGAGCACACUUGUGCCUCAGGGACUUUGCACGUGCUGUUCCUGCUGCCUGGAGACCUCCUGCCCCAGGUAGGCUCAGGUCUUAUUCUCCCAGCUCCAGUGGGUCUCUGAUGAGGUGUCUUCUCAUCAAGGAGGCUUUACUGGCCACCCCAGCUUCCCUGUCCCUUCUGCCUGUCCCUUGUCCUGGUUUUCUCCCUAGCACUAUUACCCCCCUGACGCUGCAGAACAUCAGCCUCAUGAUCACAGGGCCCUGGUGUGUGUUUAUUCUGUGUCUCCAGAACCGAGCCCAGGGUCGGGCUCUUCGUAGGUGCUCAAUAAACACUUAUUGGACAAAUGAAUGAAAAUGACUAUUAGAGUAAGAUGAAUGGCCCUGUUUCACAGAGGAAGAGUCUGAGGUUCAGAAGAGUCUGAGGUUCUUGACACACGGGAGUCUCAAAUGUCCUCCCCCCCCCCAAAAAAAAAGAUAGAAGAAUCCAAAUGAGGAAGAAGACAGUUUUACAGAGUACCUGAUAUCCUGGCAUAGAGUCCUCUGUUGUUGACAUUUUAGACUCUUUCUUCUCUCUGGUCAAUAACUCCUUGACUCUCCUGUAUAUUUAUGUCUUUUUCCCCCUGGAUCUGCUUAUUUCCUUAAGAUUUUAUUUCUUCUCUCCUUUCCUCAGUUUCCCAGUUUCGUUCACUGGAUUCUGCAGGGCUUACGUUCAAAUAUCAGCAUCAACGAUGGCUUUCUUGAACAGAUCUCACUUUAAUCAUCUUUCCAUCUGUGUGGUUGGUGACCACAUUUCAAAACUAACGCAGAUUGAUUUUCUUGUUUUCCUGGUUCCGUUGCUCAAUAUCUGUUAUCAGACCGCCCAUCUCCUCACAUUGGGCUUCUUUAUUUUGAUUCAUUGCUUGAUCAAUGGGGCUUGCCUUGGAAGUUUUUGUCAUUAUCAUUAUUAUUGAGGACAUGCAUGUGGC